GCCAGCCCGCUCAGAAACUUAAAGGAAGUUGACGGGGGCCCGCACAAGCGGCGGAGCAUGUGGAUUAAUUCGAUGCAACGCGAAGAACCUUACCUGGGUUUGACAUACACCGGAAAACCGUAGAGAUACGGUCCCCCUUGUGGUCGGUGUACAGGUGGUGCAUGGCUGUCGUCAGCUCGUGUCGUGAGAUGUUGGGUUAAGUCCCGCAACGAGCGCAACCCUUGUCUUAUGUUGCCAGCACGUGAUGGUGGGGACUCGUAAGAGACUGCCGGGGUCAACUCGGAGGAAGGUGGGGACGACGUCAAGUCAUCAUGCCCCUUAUGUCCAGGGCUUCACACAUGCUACAAUGGCCAGUACAGAGGGCUGCGAGACCGUGAGGUGGAGCGAAUCCCUUAAAGCUGGUCUCAGUUCGGAUCGGGGUCUGCAACUCGACCCCGUGAAGUCGGAGUCGCUAGUAAUCGCAGAUCAGCAACGCUGCGGUGAAUACGUUCCCGGGCCUU
Molecule: ribosomal RNA, 500 nt
Filed under: uncultured Rhodococcus sp.
Lineage: Bacteria; Bacillati; Actinomycetota; Actinomycetes; Mycobacteriales; Nocardiaceae
Description: bacterial SSU rRNA
Rfam family: Bacterial small subunit ribosomal RNA
Source: RNAcentral